CAAACCACGGACCAGCUCUGGGAUUCGGAGUUGGCUCCCUCGACCAAAGAAAUAACAUCUAUAAACAAAUUUAAUUAAGAGAUAAAAGAGCAUAGAGAGAAGCAAAUUAGAAUUAAUAUUGCUAGAGAGAACCAAUAUAAGUAUCAACAAAUGCGAGUAUUGACAGGCACAUAUUUAUUCCAGAGGGAAAGAGAAAGAGAAACAUUAAACUGAUGAGUCCAUUACAAUAGAAAAAUCGAUGAAAAGAUACAAGAAAGAUCUAAUGAUUUCGAAGAAGUACAUAUUAGAUAUUCCGCUAUGAUGUCAAGGCGAACGGGAUACGAGUGUACUACAUGUUUCCGCAAGGCAGAUAGAAAAUACGGUAUUCCAAGUAUAAAUGCAUAACGAUGUCUCACGGAUCAUUUGUUAAAGUAUGUGGAGGUGGUUUAUGCGAAGAGACGUUUCGAGGAAGCGCUUACUGAACUAGAAGGACAUGUACAUCGUGAUCCACGUUUAUGUCGCAUAAUAUAUAUUCAUUAUACAGUAAUGCUUAUCUAUUGUU
Molecule: long non-coding RNA, 541 nt
Organism: Pogonomyrmex barbatus (red harvester ant)
Lineage: Eukaryota; Metazoa; Arthropoda; Insecta; Hymenoptera; Formicidae
Source: RefSeq, a predicted model, not a curated record